AAACCUGGCCGGGCUGCCCUAAUAAUGGCAAGUCGAGCGAAACAGAUGAGAAAGCUUGCUUCUCUGAUGUUAGCGGCGGACGGGUGAGUAACACGUGGGUAACCUACCUAUAAGACUGGGAUAACUCCGGGAAACCGGGGCUAAUACCGGAUAAUAUUUUGAACCGCAUGGUUCAAUAGUGAAAGACGGUUUCGGCUGUCACUUAUAGAUGGACCCGCGCCGUAUUAGCUAGUUGGUAAGGUAAUGGCUUACCAAGGCGACGAUACGUAGCCGACCUGAGAGGGUGAUCGGCCACACUGGAACUGAGACACGGUCCAGACUCCUACGGGAGGCAGCAGUAGGGAAUCUUCCGCAAUGGGCGAAAGCCUGACGGAGCAACGCCGCGUGAGUGAUGAAGGUCUUCGGAUCGUAAAACUCUGUUGUUAGGGAAGAACAAAUUUGUUAGUAACUGAACAAGUCUUGACGGUACCUAACCAGAAAGCCACGGCUAACUACGUGCCAGCAGCCGCGGUAAUACGUAGGUGGCAAGCGUUAUCCGGAAUUAUUGGGCGUAAAGCGCGCGUAGGCGGUUUCUUAAGUCUGAUGUGAAAGCCCACGGCUCAACCGUGGAGGGUCAUUGGAAACUGGGAAACUUGAGUGCAGAAGAGGAGAGUGGAAUUCCAUGUGUAGCGGUGAAAUGCGCAGAGAUAUGGAGGAACACCAGUGGCGAAGGCGGCUCUCUGGUCUGUAACUGACGCUGAUGUGCGAAAGCGUGGGGAUCAAACAGGAUUAGAUACCCUGGUAGUCCACGCCGUAAACGAUGAGUGCUAAGUGUUAGGGGGGUUUCCGCCCCUUAGUGCUGCAGCUAACGCAUUAAGCACUCCGGCCUGGGGGAGUACGACCGCAAGGUUGAAACUCAAAGGAAUUGACGGGGGACCCGCACAAGCGGUGGAGCAUGUGGUUUUAUUCGAAGCAACGCGAAGAACCUUACCAAUCUUGACAUCCUUUGACCGCUCUAGAGAUAGAGUCUUCCCCUUCGGGGGACAAAGUGACAGUUGGUGCAAUGGUUUGUCGUUCAGCCUCGUGUCGGGAG
Molecule: ribosomal RNA, 1072 nt
Filed under: Staphylococcus aureus
Lineage: Bacteria; Bacillati; Bacillota; Bacilli; Caryophanales; Staphylococcaceae
Description: bacterial SSU rRNA
Rfam family: Bacterial small subunit ribosomal RNA
Source: RNAcentral